This 711-nucleotide non-coding RNA is filed under the name Trypanosoma cruzi strain CL Brener. RNAcentral's name for it is "Eukaryotic large subunit ribosomal RNA". It matches the Rfam family "Eukaryotic large subunit ribosomal RNA", at positions 1475 to 2243 of the family's 3401-position model. Lineage: Eukaryota; Euglenozoa; Kinetoplastea; Trypanosomatida; Trypanosomatidae. The record is from Rfam by way of RNAcentral.
AAAAAACAUCUUAGAACUGAAGAGGAGAAAGGUUCCUAAACAACAUUACUUGGAUUAGGGUGAAUCGAUCCUAAAUUACAGAUGGAAAUCCUUAAGAAAUAUAUAAGUGACAUAUAGUCAAUAUAAGGAUUGAAAGGGAAUAAGAUUAAUAGUUCUUAAUCAAGAGAAUUAAUGAUUAAAUCUUAGAAAUAAGAUUAAAUCGAAUAAAAUGGUAACAUAUCAUGAACUUUAAAAUGGAGUGUGAAAAUCUACGGAAGAGUUCUCUUUUCUUCUUAACAAAAGUAAACUCCACUGAAAUGAAUCAAUCAGAGAAGUGGAAUUUAUUGGCUUUGUAAGAAAUUCAACAUAUGAUUGAAUUGUGGUAUUUUUGCAGUCUUCAUAAAAAUUAAAGGGAAUCUUAGCAUAAAGCUAAUUAAAGAAUUCUUUUGCUCGUACUAAUAACCGCAACAGGUCUCCAAGAAGCAAAAUCUUUAGUUAAAUAGAAUAACGCAGGUAAGGGAAGUCGGCAACAUAGCUCUGUAAGUUAGCAAGAAAGAGUAGCUCUGGUGAUUUCCUUGUAAAAGGAUUAAAAUCGAAUCAGAACUUUAAAGGUUAGGGGAAUCCGACUGUUUAAUAAAAACAUAGCAUUCUGAUAAAUCUAAAAGGUUCAUUACAGAAUGUGAUUUCUGCCCAGUGCUCUGAAUGUCAAGGUAAUGAAAUUUACUUAAGCGC